GACAACGGGUUGAUAUUCCCGUACCGGCGAAGAACCGCCCAAGCUAAUCCAGUGGUGCUAAGAGUCCUAGCUCGGAAUGUUCCGGAUCUUCGGGGUGAUGGUCGUCCGUGUGAACGCUCGACCCCAUGCUGGUGCGGCUAGCGUAUUAACAGGUGUGACGCAGGAAGGUAGCCCAAGCCAGGCGAUGGUUGUCCUGGUGCAAGUGCGUAGGCCGACUCUUAGGCAAAUCCGGGAGUCAUGCAGGCUGAGACAUGAKCGAGMAAAGGGUGGUGAUCCUAUGCUGCCGAGAAAAGCAUCGACGCGAGGUUCUAGCUGCCCGUACCCCAAACCGACUCAGGUGGUCAGGUAGAGAAUACCAAGGAGAUCGAGAGAAUCGUGGUUAAGGAACUCGGCAAAAUGCCCCCGUAACUUCGGGAGAAGGGGGGCCAUCCACUUACUAGGACUUGCUCCGAAAGGGUGUGGUGGCCGCAGAGACUAGUGGGU
This 483-nucleotide non-coding RNA is filed under the name Microbacterium sp. SUBG005. RNAcentral's name for it is "bacterial LSU rRNA". It matches the Rfam family "Bacterial large subunit ribosomal RNA", at positions 1422 to 1794 of the family's 2925-position model. Lineage: Bacteria; Bacillati; Actinomycetota; Actinomycetes; Micrococcales; Microbacteriaceae. The record is from RNAcentral.